Molecule: long non-coding RNA, 2129 nt
Filed under: Sus scrofa (pig)
Lineage: Eukaryota; Metazoa; Chordata; Mammalia; Artiodactyla; Suidae
Description: lncRNA (ENSSSCG00035041275.1)
Source: RNAcentral
CCAUGGCAUGCCGAAGUUCCUGGGCAAGGGUUGGAAUCAGUGCCACAGCAGGGACCUGAACCAUAGCAGUGACAACUCUGGAUCUUUUUACCACUAGGCUACCAGGAAACUCCUAGAUUUUAUACAUACUUACAGUAAAAUUACAAAGUCAGAUAUGUCUGUUCUCUGGACCACUGAUUUUUCAUUUUCUCCCUCUGCAUUAUCAAUCUAAUGACUUGAAAAUCAAAUCAUAUAUGCCAUAAUUACCUCAUAAGUGCUUUAGAAAAUACAAAAUUGAGGAUAUGGUAAAGAAAGUAAGACUUUUUUUUUUCCUUUUAGGGUCACACCCAUGGCAUAUGAAAGUUCCCUGGCUAGGAAUCUAAUUAGAGCUGCAGUUGCCAGCCUACACCACAGCCACAAUAAAAAAGUAAAUAUUCUUGCUUUUUGUAACAUUAACUUUGAACUUGACUGAGAAUGUCUAGCGAGAAUAAAGUGAUGUUAAAAGAUCACUGGCACCAUAGGAAAAAUGAAAAAGAAAGUAAACUCUUGAGGUAGAUUAUCUAUAUUUCAAAUUAUUCUCUCCAGAAUGUUUUGUAUAUUAUUUACAAAUUAAAUGUAUUUAAUCAUAGCACCUAUUUCUAUCACUACCUGUAUUAUAUCUUUUCUCCUAAUACUGAAUGUAUUUUACUAUAUUAGCAUUGUCUGUUUUAAUUUUCCCUCCAAUACAAAAACCUAUGUUAAGGAAAUAUUCUAAUAAGAUUCAAAAAGAAUGCAAAAGAAAUUAAGAUUUAGACUUAUUACUUGUGUAACAUUAGAUAAAAUUUUUAACUACUCUCUUCCUUUCUUUUUCUAUAAAAUGAAACUAAUACCUACUUCAUAAGAUUAUUGUGAAGAUUAAACGAUCGAUAGCUAUAAUGCAAAUAGAAAUCUCUCUGGUUCAUAAUAAAUACUCCAUAAAUGCUCAGUUAUGCUUUUCUUUUUCUGUAAAUGCUCGCACCAUAGUCAUUACUAAUUUAUUAUACACUCAUCACCCUCAGGACUAUGAUAGGCAUGUGAAAUGUCCUUUAUAUAUGGGUUGCAUUAAUGGUUCAUUAAUGGAUAGAUGAAUAAUUGCACCAGUUUCCAUAAUUUCAGCUGCCGAUGAUUCUCUGGUUUUUAAAAUUGCAAGCUCAGACACCUCUCCUAAGAUCCAGACUCAUAUUCCUAAUUGCCUAUUAGCAACUCCACCAAAAUGUCACCGGAAUCUCAAGCUCAACAGUUUGUAAUAGAAUGCAUAAUGUCCCUCCCAAGCCCACAUGAUAAAACAUACACAUACUCUCAUACAUACACACACACACACACAUCAGGGAGAGAUAAUUUUCUCUUACUCUAUAUCCUAUCUCAAUGACUGACAUCAUGAGCUCCUGAAUCACCCCUACAAGAAUCGAGACAGUCACCCUUUUAUCCCUUUCCCCAUGCACCUGACACAUCCAGUUAUUUUGCCUUGAUGGUUUUACUGCCUUAAUUUGUUUCAAAUUAUCAUCUCUUCAUCUACACUGACCUUCCGCAUCUACCUCAGUGGGAAUACAGACAUUGAUUUCAGCCAGGGCCCCCUACUUCAGGUUUCCACUAUUACAGGGCAUUUUCCACAGUCCAUCAAAAUCAUUUUUCUUUUUAAAUCUUGUAUUUAAAUGUUUUUGACAAACUAAACCCAUUUUUUUAUUAUAGUCCUGCUUAAUUGGCAAAAUAUUCACUGAAGAUACACUUCAAUUUUACACAUGUUUGUAAAUAGAAAAAUACAUUGACACAAAAAGACAGUACUUCAAUAUACAUGUAAACACAUGCUUUCCAAAUAGAGUACAGAAUAAAAUAUUAAUUCGAAAGGAAAAGAGGCAUACACCCUGAUGUUCAUAGCAGCAUUAUUUACAAUUUACAAGAUAUGGAAGUAAAUGUAGUGUCCAUCAACAGAUGAAUGCAUAAGAAAGACAUGGUAUAUAUACACAGUGGAACACUAGUCAGCCAUAAAAAAUGAAAUUUGGCCAUUUUAAAAAACAUGGAUGGACUUGGAGUGUAUUAAACUAAGUGAAAUAAGUCAGAUAUAGAACGAUCAAUAGAGUAUAUCACUUAUAAAUAGAGUCUAAGAAAUAAAACAAACUAGUGACUAUAACAAA